GCGUGCGUUAACCAGAUCGUGCGUCGGACAGUUGCUGUGUACUCACACAGAAACGUAAAACGAAGACAUAUAUCAUAAAUUGUCACAGACAACUGGUCGUCGAGAGCGUCCCGGCUGAUCAUGUUUGCAUCAUUUGAUCUACAGCUGGAAUGAUUGCUGUAGCAGAAGGAAACGUGUGGGAAUGGAUUGAGACACUACUCAGUACUGUAUUGCAACAUUGGAACAACAUGUCAUUCAAUUUGAGGAAAUGCAGUUUAACAGUGACUAUUAAUUAUAAGCAUGUGUAAACUCAUUGUGGGGAAGGAAAACAAUGCGUGAGAGAAAUUGUGUUAAAUAGAAUUGUUAUUCUGAAUAAUUUUCAAAUGAUCUGUGUUAGACACCCCUGUCAAAUAGAGCAUGGAAAACCAUGGUAUUUCCAUGGAAUUUUCAUGGUACUUUUACCAUGGAAAGCAUGUGAGAGACAUUCCAUG
Long non-coding RNA from Corticium candelabrum, 470 nucleotides. RefSeq lists it as uncharacterized. The transcript has 4 exons. The record is from RefSeq and is a predicted model, not a curated record. NCBI's taxonomy places the organism in Eukaryota, Metazoa, Porifera, Homoscleromorpha, Homosclerophorida, Plakinidae.